Molecule: ribosomal RNA, 447 nt
Filed under: uncultured bacterium
Lineage: Bacteria
Description: bacterial SSU rRNA
Rfam family: Bacterial small subunit ribosomal RNA
Source: RNAcentral
GACGAACGCUGGCGGCGUGCUUAACACAUGCAAGUCGAGCGGGAUCCAACCGGUGGCAACACCGGGGAAGAUCUAGCGGCGAACGGGUGAGUAACACGUGAGCAACCUGUCCCGAAGACUGGGAUAACACCGGGAAACCGGUGCUAAUACCGGAUGUCGUCAUUAGGCCGCAUGACCUGAUGAUGAAAGGAUUCAUCGCUUCGGGAGGGGCUCGCGGGCUAUCAGCUGUUGGUGGGGUAACGGCCUACCAAGGCGACGACGGCUAGCUGGUCUGAGAGGACGACCAGCCACACUGGGACUGAGACACGGCCCAGACUCCUACGGGAGGCAGCAGUGGGGAAUAUUGGACAAUGGGCGCAAGCCUGAUCCAGCGAUGCCGCGUGUGUGAAGAAGGCCUGCGGGUUGUAAAGCACUUUCAGUAGGGAAGAAAGACCGAGUGCUAAUAUC